AAUAGUAGGCGAAAACAAAGAAAUGAUGCGAAAUUUUGUUGAAAUAUUGUAAAUUUAAUCAAUUUUGUGUGUUUUGAGAAAGUUAUGUCGUGAUUUGUGAAAUAAUAUUGAAAGCGUCAGUGUUACGGUGACUAUUCGGUCGAUAAAAUUUGGAAAUUUGCAAAUAAGGGGGAGAAAUAGCUUCCGGUCAACAAGUUGGGUGUUUUAGAUUCCAUGAUGUAUCCAAAGCCAACACAAGACAACCUGUCUGUCAAAUGCAAGAAAUAGUGCAUUGCUCUGUUCAUCCUGCAUCGAAUCAGAACCUUUUCGUCUGAACAAUUAUCUUCAAAUGACAUGGCUGACACGACAAGUCAUCACAAGAUUUUGGGGAAGUCAUUUCCCAUACUAUCAUCAACGACAACCUAUUUAAGAAGGUAAAGGAUGAAAAACCACGAAAGAAGGUACAUCAUUUCACGAUUUGCAGAUGUGUGUCAUUAUUUGCAAAUUUUCAAAUUUUCAAACACACUUAGACAUACACCAUCCAACCAACCAACCGAGUGCCACAAAUAGAUAAGACGCGGAUGCGAAAAAAACAUCAAGCUGAAGAUAAACAAACUUUCAGGAUUCAUGAUGUUAUUGCCCUAAAGUGAGAUGCCAGCGACUCAACUGUAAAUAUCAAAGACAUGUAAAAGACAUCAAGAGGAUAGUACUACUAUAUUUUCAAACUCAAACAACUUUAUG
Long non-coding RNA from Musca domestica (house fly), 720 nucleotides. RefSeq lists it as uncharacterized. Lineage: Eukaryota; Metazoa; Arthropoda; Insecta; Diptera; Muscidae. The transcript is spliced from 6 exons. The record is from RefSeq and is a predicted model, not a curated record.